This 2792-nucleotide ribosomal RNA is filed under the name Klebsiella pneumoniae. RNAcentral's name for it is "bacterial LSU rRNA". It matches the Rfam family "Bacterial large subunit ribosomal RNA". The record is from RNAcentral. Lineage: Bacteria; Pseudomonadati; Pseudomonadota; Gammaproteobacteria; Enterobacterales; Enterobacteriaceae.
UUAAGCGACUAAGCGUACACGGUGGAUGCCCUGGCAGUCAGAGGCGAUGAAGGACGUGCUAAUCUGCGAAAAGCGUCGGUAAGGUGAUAUGAACCGUUACAGCCGGCGAUGUCCGAAUGGGGAAACCCAGUGCAAUUCGUUGCACUAUCGUUAACUGAAUACAUAGGUUAACGAGGCGAACCGGGGGAACUGAAACAUCUAAGUACCCCGAGGAAAAGAAAUCAACCGAGAUUCCCCCAGUAGCGGCGAGCGAACGGGGAGCAGCCCAGAGUCUGAAUCAGCUUGUGUGUUAGUGGAACGGUCUGGAAAGUCCGACGGUACAGGGUGAUAGUCCCGUACACCAAAAUGCACAGGCUGUGAACUCGAAGAGUAGGGCGGGACACGUGGUAUCCUGUCUGAAUAUGGGGGGACCAUCCUCCAAGGCUAAAUACUCCUGACUGACCGAUAGUGAACCAGUACCGUGAGGGAAAGGCGAAAAGAACCCCGGCGAGGGGAGUGAAAAAGAACCUGAAACCGUGUACGUACAAGCAGUGGGAGCACCUUCGGGUGUGACUGCGUACCUUUUGUAUAAUGGGUCAGCGACUUAUAUUCUGUAGCAAGGUUAACCGUAUAGGGGAGCCGCAGGGAAACCGAGUCUUAACUGGGCGUUAAGUUGCAGGGUAUAGACCCGAAACCCGGUGAUCUAGCCAUGGGCAGGUUGAAGGUUGGGUAACACUAACUGGAGGACCGAACCGACUAAUGUUGAAAAAUUAGCGGAUGACUUGUGGCUGGGGGUGAAAGGCCAAUCAAACCGGGAGAUAGCUGGUUCUCCCCGAAAGCUAUUUAGGUAGCGCCUCGUGAACUCAUCUUCGGGGGUAGAGCACUGUUUCGGCUAGGGGGUCAUCCCGACUUACCAACCCGAUGCAAACUACGAAUACCGAAGAAUGUUAUCACGGGAGACACACGGCGGGUGCUAACGUCCGUCGUGAAGAGGGAAACAACCCAGACCGCCAGCUAAGGUCCCAAAGUCAUGGUUAAGUGGGAAACGAUGUGGGAAGGCACAGACAGCCAGGAUGUUGGCUUAGAAGCAGCCAUCAUUUAAAGAAAGCGUAAUAGCUCACUGGUCGAGUCGGCCUGCGCGGAAGAUGUAACGGGGCUAAACCAUGCACCGAAGCUGCGGCAGCGACACUAUGUGUUGUUGGGUAGGGGAGCGUUCUGUAAGCCUGCGAAGGUGUGCUGUGAGGCAUGCUGGAGGUAUCAGAAGUGCGAAUGCUGACAUAAGUAACGAUAAAGCGGGUGAAAAGCCCGCUCGCCGGAAGACCAAGGGUUCCUGUCCAACGUUAAUCGGGGCAGGGUGAGUCGACCCCUAAGGCGAGGCCGAAAGGCGUAGUCGAUGGGAAACAGGUUAAUAUUCCUGUACUUGGUGUUACUGCGAAGGGGGGACGGAGAAGGCUAUGUUAGCCGGGCGACGGUUGUCCCGGUUUAAGCAUGUAGGCUGGUUAUCCAGGCAAAUCCGGAUAAUCAAGGCUGAGGUGUGAUGACGAGGCACUACGGUGCUGAAGUAACAAAUGCCCUGCUUCCAGGAAAAGCCUCUAAGCAUCAGGUAACAUCAAAUCGUACCCCAAACCGACACAGGUGGUCAGGUAGAGAAUACCAAGGCGCUUGAGAGAACUCGGGUGAAGGAACUAGGCAAAAUGGUGCCGUAACUUCGGGAGAAGGCACGCUGGUGUGUAGGUGAAGUCCCUGCGGAUGGAGCUGAGACCAGUCGAAGAUACCAGCUGGCUGCAACUGUUUAUUAAAAACACAGCACUGUGCAAACACGAAAGUGGACGUAUACGGUGUGACGCCUGCCCGGUGCCGGAAGGUUAAUUGAUGGGGUUAUCCGUAAGGAGAAGCUCUUGAUCGAAGCCCCGGUAAACGGCGGCCGUAACUAUAACGGUCCUAAGGUAGCGAAAUUCCUUGUCGGGUAAGUUCCGACCUGCACGAAUGGCGUAAUGAUGGCCAGGCUGUCUCCACCCGAGACUCAGUGAAAUUGAACUCGCUGUGAAGAUGCAGUGUACCCGCGGCAAGACGGAAAGACCCCGUGAACCUUUACUAUAGCUUGACACUGAACAUUGAGCCUUGAUGUGUAGGAUAGGUGGGAGGCUUUGAAGCGUGGACGCCAGUCUGCGUGGAGCCAACCUUGAAAUACCACCCUUUAAUGUUUGAUGUUCUAACGUUGGCCCCUGACCGGGGUUGCGGACAGUGUCUGGUGGGUAGUUUGACUGGGGCGGUCUCCUCCCAAAGCGUAACGGAGGAGCACGAAGGUUAGCUAAUCCUGGUCGGACAUCAGGAGGUUAGUGCAAUGGCAUAAGCUAGCUUGACUGCGAGCGUGACGGCGCGAGCAGGUGCGAAAGCAGGUCAUAGUGAUCCGGUGGUUCUGAAUGGAAGGGCCAUCGCUCAACGGAUAAAAGGUACUCCGGGGAUAACAGGCUGAUACCGCCCAAGAGUUCAUAUCGACGGCGGUGUUUGGCACCUCGAUGUCGGCUCAUCACAUCCUGGGGCUGAAGUAGGUCCCAAGGGUAUGGCUGUUCGCCAUUUAAAGUGGUACGCGAGCUGGGUUUAGAACGUCGUGAGACAGUUCGGUCCCUAUCUGCCGUGGGCGCUGGAGAAUUGAGGGGGGCUGCUCCUAGUACGAGAGGACCGGAGUGGACGCAUCACUGGUGUUCGGGUUGUCAUGCCAAUGGCACUGCCCGGUAGCUAAAUGCGGAAGAGAUAAGUGCUGAAAGCAUCUAAGCACGAAACUUGCCCCGAGAUGAGUUCUCCCUGAGACU